RNAcentral lists this transfer RNA (63 nucleotides) under Exothotettix guangxiensis. RNAcentral describes it as "tRNA-Gly". Lineage: Eukaryota; Metazoa; Arthropoda; Insecta; Orthoptera; Tetrigidae. The record is from RNAcentral.
AUUUUUCUAGUAUAUAAGUACAUUUGACUUCCAAUCAAAAAGUUUGAGUUCUCAAGAAAAAUU